CGUAGGUGGCGAGCGUUGUCCGGAAUUACUGGGUGUAAAGGGCGUGUAGGCGGGAAGACAAGUCAGAUGUGAAAUACCGUGGCUUAACCACGGGGCUGCAUCUGAAACUGUAUUUCUUGAGUGUCGGAGAGGAAAGUGGAAUUCCCAGUGUAGCGGUGAAAUGCGUAGAUAUUGGGAGGAACACCAGUGGCGAAGGCGACUUUCUGGACGAUAACUGACGCUGAGGCGCGAAAGCGUGGGGAGCAAACAGGAUUAGAUACCCUGGUAGUCCACGCUGUAAACGAUGGAUACUAGGUGUGGGAGGUAUCGACCCCUUCCGUGCCGCAGUUAACACAAUAAGUAUCCCACCUGGGGAGUACGGCCGCAAGGUUG
This 372-nucleotide ribosomal RNA is filed under the name uncultured organism. RNAcentral describes it as "bacterial SSU rRNA". It matches the Rfam family "Bacterial small subunit ribosomal RNA", at positions 526 to 896 of the family's 1533-position model. The record is from RNAcentral.